Molecule: ribosomal RNA, 253 nt
Filed under: uncultured bacterium
Lineage: Bacteria
Description: partial 16S ribosomal RNA
Rfam family: Bacterial small subunit ribosomal RNA
Source: RNAcentral
UACGAAGGGGGCUAGCGUUGCUCGGAAUCACUGGGCGUAAAGGGCGCGUAGGCGGCUGAUUUAGUCGAGGGUGAAAGCCCGUGGCUCAACCACGGAAUGGCCUUCGAUACUGGUUCGCUUGAGACCGGAAGAGGACAGCGGAACUGCGAGUGUAGAGGUGAAAUUCGUAGAUAUUCGCAAGAACACCAGUGGCGAAGGCGGCUGUCUGUUCCGGUUCUGACGCUGAGGCGCGAAAGCGUGGGGAGCAAACAGG